Molecule: ribosomal RNA, 770 nt
Filed under: uncultured bacterium
Lineage: Bacteria
Description: bacterial SSU rRNA
Rfam family: Bacterial small subunit ribosomal RNA
Source: RNAcentral
CAGGCGAUACGGNCACGACUAGAGUGCUGUAGGGGUAACUGGAAUUCNUGGUGUAGCGGUGAAAUGCGCAGAUAUCAGGAGGAACACCGAUGGCGAAGGCAGGUUACUGGGCAGUUACUGACGCUGAGGAGCGAAAGCAUGGGGAGCGAACAGGAUUAGAUACCCUGGUAGUCCAUGCUGUAAACGGUGGGCGCUAGGUGUGGGCUGUGUGUUUGCAGUCUGUGCCGUAGCUAACGCAUUAAGCGCCCCGCCUGGGGAGUACGGCCGCAAGGCUAAAACUCAAAGGAAUUGACGGGGGCCCGCACAAGCGGCGGAGCAUGUGGAUUAAUUCGAUGCAACGCGAAGAACCUUACCUGGGUUUGACAUGCACCAGAUCGGCGUAGAGAUACGUCCUCCCUUGUGGUUGGUGCACAGGUGGUGCAUGGUUGUCGUCAGCUCGUGUCGUGAGAUGUUGGGUUAAGUCCCGCAACGNNNNCANNNNNUGUCUUAUGUUGCCAGCACAUUUUUGGUGGGGACUCAUGAGAAACUGCCGGGGUCAACUCGGAGGAAGGUGGGGAUGACGUCAAAUCAUCAUGCCCUUUAUACCCAGGGCUUCACACAUGCUACAAUGGUCGGUACAACGGGUUGCGACACUGUGAAGUGAAGCUAAUCUCUUAAAGCCGGCCUCAGUUCGGAUUGGGGUCUGCAACUCGACCCCAUGAAGUCGGAGUCGCUAGUAAUCGCAGAUCAGCAACGCUGCGGUGAAUACGUUCCCGGGCCUUGUACACACC